This 604-nucleotide ribosomal RNA is filed under the name Psychrobacter sp. CS2110. RNAcentral's name for it is "bacterial SSU rRNA". It matches the Rfam family "Bacterial small subunit ribosomal RNA", at positions 61 to 659 of the family's 1533-position model. Lineage: Bacteria; Pseudomonadati; Pseudomonadota; Gammaproteobacteria; Moraxellales; Moraxellaceae. RNAcentral also lists the same sequence under 2 other names. The record is from RNAcentral.
GUCGAGCGGAACGAUACCAGCUUGCUGGUAGGCGUCGAGCGGCGGACGGGUGAGUAACACUUAGGAAUCUACCUAGUAGUGGGGGAUAGCUCGGGGAAACUCGAAUUAAUACCGCAUACGACCUACGGGAGAAAGGGGGCAACUUGUUGCUCUCGCUAUUAGAUGAGCCUAAGUCGGAUUAGCUAGUUGGUGGGGUAAAGGCCUACCAAGGCGACGAUCUGUAGCUGGUCUGAGAGGAUGAUCAGCCACACCGGGACUGAGACACGGCCCGGACUCCUACGGGAGGCAGCAGUGGGGAAUAUUGGACAAUGGGGGCAACCCUGAUCCAGCCAUGCCGCGUGUGUGAAGAAGGCCUUUUGGUUGUAAAGCACUUUAAGCAGUGAAGAAGACCUAAUGGUUAAUACCCAUUAGCGAUGACAUUAGCUGCAGAAUAAGCACCGGCUAACUCUGUGCCAGCAGCCGCGGUAAUACAGAGGGUGCAAGCGUUAAUCGGAAUUACUGGGCGUAAAGCGAGCGUAGGUGGCUUGAUAAGUCAGAUGUGAAAUCCCCGGGCUUAACCUGGGAACUGCAUCUGAUACUGUUAGGCUAGAAUAGGUGAGAGGAA